This 951-nucleotide ribosomal RNA is filed under the name uncultured Gammaproteobacteria bacterium. RNAcentral's name for it is "bacterial SSU rRNA". It matches the Rfam family "Bacterial small subunit ribosomal RNA", at positions 9 to 964 of the family's 1533-position model. The record is from RNAcentral. Lineage: Bacteria; Pseudomonadati; Pseudomonadota; Gammaproteobacteria.
GAGUUUGAUCCUGGCUCAGAUUGAACGCUGGCGGCAGGCCUAACACAUGCAAGUCGAGCGCGAAAACACUUCGGUGUGAGUAGAGCGGCGGACGGGUGAGUAAUGCUUGGGAAUCUGCCCAGUAGUGGGGGAUAACGUGUGGAAACGCACGCUAAUACCGCAUACGUCCUACGGGAGAAAGCAGGGGAUCUUCGGACCUUGCGCUAUUGGAUGAGCCCAAGUCAGAUUAGCUAGUUGGUGAGGUAAUGGCUCACCAAGGCGACGAUCUGUAGCUGGUCUGAGAGGAUGAUCAGCCACACUGGGACUGAGACACGGCCCAGACUCCUACGGGAGGCAGCAGUGGGGAAUAUUGCACAAUGGGCGAAAGCCUGAUGCAGCCAUGCCGCGUGUGUGAAGAAGGCUCUAGGGUUGUAAAGCACUUUCAGUGGGGAGGAAAAGUUUAAGAUUAAUACUCUUGAACCUUGACGUUACCUGCAGAAGAAGCACCGGCAAACUCCGUGCCAGCAGCCGCGGUAAUACGGAGGGUGCGAGCGUUAAUCGGAAUUACUGGGCGUAAAGCGCGCGUAGGUGGUUUGAUAAGCUAGCUGUGAAAGCCCCGGGCUCAACCUGGGAACUGCAGUUAGAACUGUCUGGCUAGAGUAUAGUAGAGGGUGGCGGAAUUUCCUGUGUAGCGGUGAAAUGCGUAGAUAUAGGAAGGAACAUCAGUGGCGAAGGCGGCCACCUGGACUAAUACUGACACUGAGGUGCGAAAGCGUGGGGGAGCAAACAGGAUUAGAUACCCUGGUAGUCCACGCCGUAAACGAUGUCUACUAGCCGUUGGGAGACUUGAUCUCUUAGUGGCGCAGUUAACGCGAUAAGUAGACCGCCUGGGGAGUACGGCGCAAGUUAAACUCAAUGACUUGACGGGGGCCGCACAAGCGUGGAGCAUGUGGUUAAUUCGAGCACGSCAGA